This is a long non-coding RNA of Hyla sarda, 391 nucleotides long. RefSeq lists it as uncharacterized. Lineage: Eukaryota; Metazoa; Chordata; Amphibia; Anura; Hylidae. The record is from RefSeq and is a predicted model, not a curated record. The transcript is spliced from 3 exons.
CUACUCGACUCUUCCUCUACAUAGAUUUUGAUAACUUUCCCCCUUAUUGUUUACUAGGGGGGCAUGAUGGGAGUAAUUGUGGACCAAGUUCCUUUGGCUUUUCUUGUUCAUGAGACCCUUGGUCGGAUGCUGACCAUGUUGUGCGCUUCUGGUUGUAACUUUUGUUCAUGACAUUGUUGUCUAUGGAGCAAACAAUAAAAACAUCCGCAAAAUCAAUGUCUAAAGGCCUCCUGAGCUAAUAAAAAAAACCUAUAUGUGUUUGAAUGCUUUCCAGGUGAUACCACCAGAGAUCAGAAAUAGACUAAUUACCCUUACAUCAUUAACCGCACAGAACAACAAGCAGAAAAUAAAGUUGUGCUGAUGAGAAAUUCCGGGAGACUGCAGAUGCUUA